Molecule: long non-coding RNA, 243 nt
Organism: Panicum virgatum (switchgrass)
Lineage: Eukaryota; Viridiplantae; Streptophyta; Magnoliopsida; Poales; Poaceae
Exons: 2
Source: RefSeq, a predicted model, not a curated record
AUUCUUCUACCAUUGCCCCCAGUAUUUUUCUUCUCGGAUCUACAGCCAUACGCUUCAGUCGUACUGCAUUGCGAAGGAUAUAUUUUACCAGCGCAACUUGGCCUCCGUUGCCAUUAAAACCGGUUAUGCAGGCAUCCUUCAGGGCGGCACUCACUACAAAAUGCACAGCACAUCUACACAGAUUUUGACACCAUGAUAUUGUCAGUGAAAAGAAACUAAUAGCAUGAAAAUCAUGUGCAAAAA